This 650-nucleotide ribosomal RNA is filed under the name Coleosporium bletiae. RNAcentral's name for it is "partial large subunit ribosomal RNA". It matches the Rfam family "Eukaryotic large subunit ribosomal RNA", at positions 36 to 655 of the family's 3401-position model. The record is from RNAcentral. Lineage: Eukaryota; Fungi; Basidiomycota; Pucciniomycetes; Pucciniales; Coleosporiaceae.
UAGCAUAUCAAUAAGCGGAGGAAAAGAAACUAACAAGGAUUUCCCCUAGUAACGGCGAGUGAAGAGGGAAAAGCCCAAAUUUGUAAUCUGGCUCUUUCAUAAGGGUCCGAGUUGUAAUUUUGAGAACUGUUUUCUGUGUUGGACCAUGUACAAGUCUGUUGGAAAACAGCAUCAUUGAGGGUGAUAAUCCCGUACAUGAUAUGGACUACCAGUGCAAUAUGAUACAGUCUCUAAGAGUCGAGUUGUUUGGGAAUGCAGCUCAAAGUGGGUGGUAAAUUCCAUCUAAGGCUAAAUAUAGGUGAGAGACCGAUAGCAAACAAGUACCGUGAGGGAAAGAUGAAAAGAACUUUGGAAAGAGAGUUAACAGUACGUGAAAUUGUUAAAAGGGAAACAUUUGAAGUUAGACUUGUUAUUAUUGGUUCAGCUUCUUUUUUUAAUUAGGAGUCUAUUCCAAUGGUUGACAGACCAGCAUCAAUUUUUGAGUGUUAGAUAAGGGUCUUGAGAAUGUGGCAACUUUUGGUUGUGUUAUAGCUCUUGGCUUGAUAUAAUGCUUAGGAUUGAGGAACGCAGUGAGCUUUUUAAAAAGUGGAUUCAUUUUUUGAAUCUCAUCACUACGGAUGUUGGUGUAAUAGCUUUAAAUGACCCGUCUG